CCCACACACUCAUGCAGCCGGUCCACGUGCAACCGAGCAUUGCCGCUGCCGCCGUGCGAUGGGCACCCUUUUCAUGAGGUCCUCCGUUGUGGCGAGGCCCCGCUCGAGCAGGACGAUGUGGUUGAUGCCAUCGGCCACCCUGUGCAUCGCACCAUUAAUGCCACUGAUGCCCACGGGCAGGCGCAUGACCAGCGAACACAUGUGGAGGGGCUGCAGCCUGCAGCAUGGAUGGUCCAGCUUGUUCUUGGGCCUUGCGUUCUCUGUGCAAAGGUGCUACUCAUCCGGCGACACCUCCCUGAGCAUGGCCGUGCUGCCGCAGUUGGCACAGAUGGGGUUGCACAUCACCUACUAGAUGUGUGUGGUAAGCAUUAGAAGAGAGCCAGAGCUUGAAGAAGUGGGCAAAAGCGACAUUUCACCACCUUUUCUUCCCUCAUUUUCGAGAAAAUUAAUAAAAUAACGUGUGUGGUGUCCAGGAGCAAAAUAACAAGUUUUUAUAAUGAUAUUCCGCAAACACGAAAUAGCAGUGUUGAACAGCCAAUUCCAUCAAAGAGCGGUGUCCGCUAACGAAAAUCUUCCUAAACGAAAUUGCUCCCUGUGCAUAUGUUUGUUCAUGCUGAUGUCUAGCAUUUCCAUGGC
Molecule: unclassified non-coding RNA, 636 nt
Filed under: Zea mays
Lineage: Eukaryota; Viridiplantae; Streptophyta; Magnoliopsida; Poales; Poaceae
Description: misc RNA Zm00001eb311670
Source: RNAcentral